AUAUGUGAUCGUCUCUCGCAUAUCAAUAAGCGGAGGAAAAGAAACUAACAAGGAUUCCCCUAGUAACGGCGAGUGAAGCGGGAAGAGCUCAAAUUUGAAAUCUUAAAGGGUUUCCCUUUACGAAUUGUAGUUUAAAGAAGUGUUUUCUGUUGAGGCUUUGGUAAAAGUUCUUUGGAAUAGGACAUCAUAGAGGGUGAGAAUCCCGUAUUUGACCUUUACUUUCAACUUUGUGAUACACUUUCAAAGAGUCGGAUUGUUUGGGAAUGCAGUCCAAAAUGGGUGGUAAAUUUCAUCUAAAGCUAAAUAUUGGCGAGAGACCGAUAGCGAACAAGUACCGUGAGGGAAAGAUGAAAAGAACUUGAAAAGAGAGUUAAACAGUACGUGAAAUUGUCAAAAGGGAAGCGUUUGACACCAGUGUUGUUUUUCUGAAAAUCAAUUAAAGAACUGUUUAUGCUAAGCUGUUUAGACUUUAUCAGCUAACUGUUUAGUUUUGAGCUUUUCUUUAAUGCACUUUUCAGUUAACAAGUCAACAUCAAUUUCUUUUGCUGUAAAAAAGCUUGAGGAAGGUGGCUUGAGAUUCGUCUUAAGUGUUUAUAGCCCCUUGCCUAUGCAGUCGGAGAGAUUGAGGUCUGCAGCGUAGAUCCUUCGGGGCUAAAUGCAUUUGUGCUAAGUUAUAGCAUUUUAUAGACAACUUGUUGACUAUGAUUUGUCUUGUAGCUUACUCGCUUAUGUUAUUUUACCUACGCUUAGGAUGUUGAUAUCGCGCUCUCACUG
Molecule: ribosomal RNA, 774 nt
Filed under: uncultured Neocallimastigales
Lineage: Eukaryota; Fungi; Neocallimastigomycota; Neocallimastigomycetes; Neocallimastigales
Description: partial large subunit ribosomal RNA
Rfam family: Eukaryotic large subunit ribosomal RNA
Source: RNAcentral